GACAUUGUAAAGACUUCACAAUAGUCUUUUAGUGCCACGCUAAGAGCAGUACUAGGAAUUUUACUGAGGAUGAAUUAUAUGCAUCCACAGAAGUUGUACAUUUCAUCUGUUUCAUGCCCUUUCGUCCUUUCACAAUUAUUUCCAGCUUUAAUUACCCAUUACAGCUGGAAAGUACAAAUUGGGCUGUAACUGUGAUGCCACUACCAUCACUACUGUGAUGUUAUUGAUGUCUGACAGUCAUGCAUCUAGAAGGGCUUUGUUUCAAACAAGGCAGGAUGCCAGAUCACAGCUGCCUUCCCUGCCUGAUUCUACAAAAGCUAACAAGAGCUUGGGCAGGUUGGGACUGGAAUCCAACAACUUGGACACAGUCAUUUUUCUUAACCACAGAAAUGCUUGUGGAAUUGUUUAAGACUGUCACUUUGAUCUCUUCUACGCUGUAGGAAACCAGCAGAUGCUGAGUAAUGGCUCAGUCCACACUCACAGAAAGAAGAGGUCCAGGUUUGAAUGAUCUUGGCCAUUGUUAACAAGGCAGAUCAAGAUUUUCUACAGAACUUCCGAGCAUUGUGGAUUCUCUUUCCUCAAAGACUUUCCUCUCUGACAAGAGCUCUUCACAAGGGGUUUGCCAUGUCCCUUUUUUCUCCAUAUUUUUUACAGUCCUUUUUGGAAGAGAUGCCUCUUGGUUACAGAAAAACAAAACAAACAAACAAAAAUAUAAUGUAAGAACAUGAAUUCUACCAAGAAACCCAAGGGCAAAGACUGCAGGGUUGGUACAAAUUAUCACUUCUAUAUUCUUUCUCAAAUCUCUGAAUUUUUUCCAGUGUCUCUAGAACCCUUAUUCACUGUGUUAGAAAAAAGCAAGCUGUUUCUCUUGCUAAAGUAACUCAAGAUCCUAAACCUUCUUUUGUCCAGAUACAAAGCAACCAAAAUUGAAAUCUCCUGAGUUCUGGUAAUUAUAUUGGAUAAGGGAAACACGGGCCUACGUCUAUGUUUUAGUAUUGAUCUCUCCUGUUGAAAUAGUUGGCUUUGGUACAAAAACUUGAUUGCUUAGUUGGUAAAGUAAAAAUGAUGUUCCUUGAAAAGACUUUUGUUUGGAAGCUGAAAAGACUCCAAGACUAUGUUCCUAAACAUGCAGAAGAAGAAACAUCUUCAAAGAACACCCUUGCUAUUUUACUAGAGUCUACUUUUAGGGCAUCAUCACCACGAGAUCUUGCAAGUAAGACAAGUGUUUCAUUGACACCAGUUCAUGUCCAGGGUUUUCAGUGGGCAAUAAGAUUGACAGAAAAGCUUUUUCCAUCUCCCCUCUGCAAAAACUCAGGCUUUCCUGCUUUUGCCCAGGGACAUUCUGCAAAAACACUUGUAAGUCUCAGGCUGCAGCUCUUCCCAUCAUCUACCCACUUCUGACUCAGGCAUAGGUAAAUACAUGCUUAUUUAGAAAUAUGAUGUAUUUAUUUUGCCAGUCAUUUACCUGGUAGUGAAAUGAAAAUCCUAUGAUAAACAUCCACACUCUGUGAAAGUUCCUUUGGAUCAGGCUUUUGGAGGUUGUCUGAGAGACCUGACUAACCACUUCUCAACCGGGUAUGCUGAAAAAUAUCUGCUACUAAUAUAAGGGACAUGCUACUGAAGUCAAACUUUGAAGCUUGUUUUCUGUACUGUACACACACAGAAGCGCAUAUAUAUAUAUAUAUAUAUAUAUAUAUAUAUAUAUAUGUACUGUCUAACACCUUCAGAAGUUAGUGGGAGUUAUGCACACAUACACUGACAGAAAAAACAAGCUUUUGAGGCUACACAAAGCUCAGUUUAUAUAGAAUCUUAUGGAGGUUUGACAUCCGAGGAAGUGAGGAGCAGUUAGCAGCUAAUGCUUUUCCGGUGAACUGGCCGGAUGAAUAGAGAUUGAUGUGGAUGAAAGGUAUGAAAAAUUAUUUUAUUGCCUCAUAGGAAGGCUACAGAGCCUUGCAUUUCAUGUACUUUAUUUAUGUAGCUACUUCCAUUCGUACAAAUGGGAGCUGUGUAUCUGUUCUGAGGGAAGUAUUGACCCCAAGGCUGUAUGGAGCAAUUAUACAUCAGAAAGUAUUCUUAUCUAUAAAGCCUUGCUUCUUAAUCCUGUUGCCAGAGGAAGCAGAAAAGCAACACAUUAGUUAACUAUGGCAAACACAUUCAAAAAGUACAUUCUAACCUUCCAGGAAAGAAGAAAGCUGAAGGGAUCUCUACAGUAAAAUUUGACAACACACACGGUGACAGAAUUAUGAACCCCUGAAAGAGAGAUCUGGCUGAUGCAUGAAUGAAAAGAAAAGCAGAGAUUUUAAAGAUGCUCAUGGACUGACACUGGAUGGGGAACUCUUGACUCUCUCACAUGAGACUUUGUAAGGUCAUGCAUUUGCUGCAGAACAUACUGAGUGACAGCAUGGACAAGCAUAAGUGAAAGCUGAUGCGCUGCAAAGACAAACUCAAGUUCCUACAUCCAUUUUGCUGCUGUCCUCUCCUGCAUAAAAUGUACAGGAAUUUUCCAGGUUACAGCAUCUAAUGGCUCCUCGUCCUGCUGCAGUCUCAGUUGCUAUGACAAUUCCUGCUCAGCCUUUUGCCAAACCUGUUCUUUCCAGCACACGUACAGAAGUGACACUGGCACAGCAACUCAUCGAACUGAGCCACUUCUGGGGACAGGCUCCAUGUUUUUGUGCGCAGCCUUUGUACCAGGAGCUGGAAGAGCAUGAGCUUAUUUGGAACAACAGGCAGUGCUCAGUGCUGGCAUUGAGGCCAUUUUCCUGCUGGAAGAGAGGAGGCAGAUCUGGGCCACGGAGCGUGACAGAGGGUGUGUUGGCAGCAGCUUGUCAUGCAGGGAAACAGUGGUGCUCUUUGUUAAGGUGACCACAGGGGUUGCCUGCAGUGGUGCUGUUGGGUAGAGGAGGGCUGGGCUCCUCCAUCCAUCUGGAGCACUGAUUUUUCCCUCAUCUAUCCUCCCAUAAACCUGCAUAUUUUCUUGCUACUGGCUGGAAAAUUAGCCCAGCUCAUGGUUCCCAGUAAAAAACUGGAUCUGCUUGGUACUUAAGAACAUCAAUCAAGUCCCAUGCUUGUCUUGCUUCUGUCAGAGAUCAUAUCUUAAACCUGAACACUUGGAAUUGGUUUCUGGACAUCACAACCUUCCAGAAUUUUCUACAUGUUGACGCUGAGGUCAAACAGAUAACAGGCUGUUAUAUGUUAAUAUAACAGGCUUUUAUAUGUUGAUAACUGACCUCCAGUUAGAGAAGGUGGAUUGAGCUUCAGAGCAAGACAGCACAGCACAGAUAUAAGGAAAUUAGUUAAAAUUCACAGGACACCCUCACAUCAGCAGUGAUUUGGCACAGAUUGUGUCCUGGAGUGAAAGUCACCACUACAGUCAAGAAAAAUCUCAAUAUACAUGUGCAGAAAUCAGAACAGUGUCAACAUCUGGUAAAUGCAUGGGAAUAAGUGGCACAGCGAAGACAUAUAUGGGUGUUGAGCACAGAUAUGUUAGGGCUAGUGACAGGUGUGGUUACAGACCUCUCAGAGACUCAGCAACUAUUUUUUACAUGAGACUAAGGAGAUCUGUUAAUUGAGUUAGCACAUUCAGUAAUGAUUGGCUUUUAGGAAAAAUAUCUCCUCAGAAUAGUAACUUUAAGCCCAGAACACAUGUGGAAAGGAUUUUGUAACAGGUGAUUUCUGGCAAAGAGCUGGCACGUGUCAUUUGAAGAGCACAGCAAUUCUCCUCCCCAGUCCAGAUUACACCAGAAGCCUCCCCUUUAUUUGAACUAUAAGCAUUCCACUAGUCUGUAAAGAUUUUUUUUGAGAUGUCUUGAUAAAAUACUGUCUACAGAGAGGAUAGCCUAAGAUCAAUGCAAAAAAACUAACAUGAAGAAGAUGCAGACUUCAGCUUCCACAUCACGUGGCAGAACCAGAAAUUUACUGAAAUCUGAUUAUCUAGAAUUGCUGCUUUAACUGUGCACCACACUCUGAAAGCUGACAUGAGACAUCCACUUUGACACAGAACAUCUCCCAUUACAACCAUCCAAUUCAGUGGAGUUUUUCCAGAGAGGCCACUGGAAUUUUUAGGAUGUCAUCUUGUCAUUAAGAAAUUAGAAAAUGCAACGUUUAUUGGUCAGACUUGUGAAGGAGAUGAGUGAGGGUGUUUAUUUUGCUUCAUGAUUGCAGAGACCCUAAAGUAUACAGAAUUUUUCAGUAGGAUAGAAGUACUGAGUAUGAAGAAUCAAAACUCAGUUAUAGCCAAUGUAAAUGAUGCUUGUAAGCUACCAGUGCUAGGAUGCCUCUUACAUCAGACAGAACUUGUGGGACUUUAUUAGUUUAAGUAACAUCACCAGAGAAGUGGGAAUGAACUGUCAGCUGUAUGCAAAGCCAUGAAAAAUAAAGCUGUAGCACUAAAAAAAAAAUAUAUAUCUACAACAAAGCAUGACAAAUACAAAGAAAUAGUUCAAAUAUUACACAAAGCAAACUGCAGUUUGAUUGCUCUUGUAAAGUACACUUAAUAAAUUUGCUGUAAAGAAUACACUGAUUUCUUUUUUUCUUACUGCUGAGAAAGGCUAACUAAAAUAUGUACACAAGCCAUCAAUCUUUGAUGGAUAUCUGGAGCCAGCAGUCAUAUUUUAAAAAGUUUGAUUUGCAUUUAUGCUGUACUCUACAAGCUGCUGCCUGUUUAGUUUUCCUGUGGUGGCAGCAGAUCAAAGUCUUAUGGAACAGAUCUUAUUUGUUGCCUGUAAAUAACAGUGGGUCACUGAAAGAAAGAACCUGUAAAACCUGGGGGUUAUUAACAAAGAGAUCUUUCCUUUGCUGCAAUGAAAAUAUAAAGAAGAAAACCAAGAGGAUUAUAAAUAUUCACAUGGAAUUGAAUGGUAUGUGUUAUUACAAAAAAAAUAAGGCAGGAAAAAUUCCAGUUUUCUGGUUUUCUUGCUUUACCUACUUUAUACUUUGAGGUAUUUUCUUAUGAACUCUGAGAGAGAUACACAUUCUCUGUGCCAGAUCUAACUUACUUGUGAUACUGCCUUUUCAGAAUUGGCUGAAUCUAAUAUAUCUUUAGAUAUAUUUUGGCACUCAGGGCCUAAAAGGGAAACGUUCUCAGCAGAUUCUGAGCUGGUGCAGAGUUGUCUUGCUGACUCUAAUGGCUGCAUAAAACAUGUGUUUAUGAGAAGCUGAGAAGACACAUUUCUCUGUACUGUGAAAACUGCAGCUAUACUCAGAGCAUUCAUAAAACAUUACAGCUACAUCUUUCCUUGUCAAACAGAGCCCUUAGAAUCAAUUCCCCGUAAAAGAUAACUCUUAGUCUCAACAAUUGCUGUGAUUCUUCUGUGUGUACAGAUCAAAAUCCAUUUCAGAAACAAACAAAAAAACUGUCUCUCUCUUCAGGACUUCUAUUUGCAAAAGCCUGAUGCUGUAAGCACACCCAGAGCUCUUGCUAGCGUCUGACUGCUGCCCUGGUGUAGUGGCAUGCUGAGAUGUGUGUGUGCUUAAGGAAUUUGACUCCACUCAUUUGCAUGGGAAAGGUUAAUUGAGUGAAGAUUAGUUAUAAAUCAAGGGAUAAGAAGCCAAUUUGGUUUGUACUAGAUCUUUCGUAGUGUUUCAAGAUGCAUUCUGCACAGUCCUAAGAACUGAAGGUGGAGUUGCAAGGAGUUAUUAAUGUCAGCUUAGUUUCUGAAGCAGAGGUUGAUGUGACUGUUCCCUCUGUCUGUUUUCAACCAGUCUGUCUGAACCUUUGGCUCUUCUCAGCCAAGUCUGACAAAGAAGGAAAGCUGCUGUCUGCCCAUUAUUAGUUGGGUGGAUGCAAAAGAAAUGAAAGGGCUUGAAGAAAUUAAUAUAGCUCUUAGUGUAAGAAACCUGGGAUUUAUAACUUUCAGCAGGGCAAAAUAACCUGCCUUUUGUACUUAACUAUAAUGUAUUACUACAUUAUAAUUGCAAAUGUAUAGAUAAAAAGGGAUUUUCUAACUUUUCUAAGAGUUAAAAAAAAAUUCAUGAGGUUUCAAGUAAGAAACAACUUAUUAAUCCAAACUUAGACAUGUAGUUAUUAGCCACAUGUACAUAAGAUCAGAACAGAUAAUGCUGUGUGUGAGGUUGUGGUGCAAAGUUUACUCUUGCUGCUUCUUACUGGAUAUUUGCUAAAACUGGAAGUGGCAUCCCUGAGGAUGUUCUUUCAUCAGUCAACAGCUCUGUGCUGCCUUGUGUGUUACUGCUGUAACGUUAAGGCCGUUUCCUUUCUGGACUUUGCUCUUCUCAUACCAGCUACAAACCAGGCUCUGCCACAAAACUUCACUUAGGUCUUUCUGUUCAAACAUCGGCUCUGCAUCCCAAUUUUUUUAUAUAUUUAAGGAAGAGGGAACCUUAGAGUCACCCAGAGAUGUUUCUGUGUGUAAGGGCUACUUGAGUGCAUUGGGAUGAUCAUCCCUUUCUGUGAUCAGAAAAUUCCUUGUCUUCUACAAAACAAAUUCUUCAUAACUUGUACAUUCUUUGCAAAUGAUCUGAAUUUCCCCCAGAGUUUAAAGUAUGGCAUAGCCUUGUCUGAGUUCAUUCUUGUCUGCCCCUUUACCAUGAGCAGUACCAAACCCAAAAGGUAAACACAGCUCCUUUUCCAAGAUCCAGCAUCUCGGGUGGAGCAGGUGGGGACACACAGGGGAGCACAAGGGCACAAUGGAACAAUAGUGGCCAGAGCAAUGAUUUCAGCAACUCACAGCUGUCCCAGCCCACUGCAAGGUUUUUCUCGAGGCGGGGGGAUGAUGACAAAAGAGAUUUGAAGGAAGACAAUGAGAGAGUUUUGCAGAUGUUUACAGGGAGCUGGUCCUAUGUGUGAGGAGCAGCAUGGAGAAAGCACAAAGGUGCUUGUGUGACCACAUUAGCAACUGGGUGACAGAGUUGGCAUUGCUCACAGCAGCACGGAGCCUGGAGUUGAUAUCACAAGGGUUACUUGAGAGGAUGGUCAAACUCUGCUAAAAUCCUUCUUUCUAAAAAGAACAAUUUGGUAUACAUCAAUUAUGCAUCACCUCUGCCACAUUUCACUUCAACCAUAUUUUCAUACCCACUCCUGCCACUGGCAGUUUAUCAGAAUGACCCCCCUGUGCUGUGAACUUACUGUUUUUCAGCAAAUGCCAUCAGCUUACCCUUGCUUUGCCUGGAAAUCAGAUGCAAAAACUCACUGUGGGCAUCAACAAUCUGUUUCAGGGGUUCCCAAAUUUCUUUACUCAAUCCUGCCUAUCAGUAACAAUUUACUUUUUGCCUCCAGAAUUCAUCUUUGUUUGUGGAUUCUGGAACUUAAAUAUUGAAAAAUUUAAGUGCCAACGUACAUCGGAAAUAAUUUGGUUUUCAUAAACCAUCUGGGAUAUAUCAGCGUGCCUAGCAGCCUUGUCUACACUUGUUAAAAAACCACCAAAACCAAACAAAAUUUAAACUAAAAUGGAGGCAAUGAAGUUGUUUGCAUACAAAAGUUGUGUACUGAUAGACAACAGGGUGGUGUGUUGCAGCUGCAAACCAGCUUGCUGAGUUACUGUCAGCCACAGUGCUGAGUAAGGGACAUGCUUCAGCUAUCUCAUUAGAUUGGUGCCAGAUAUAUACCUUUCCAUAAAGUAUGUUCUGUGAGCACCAAAAUGGGUUCUGCCAGAUCAGUAGUGCUGUUUGAACUCCCUAAACUGCAGCAAAGACAAAAGACAAUACAAUUUAUUUGCUGCAACCGAUGUCUGCAGAAGUUGGCUCUUGUAGUGGGUGAUAACUACAAAGAUUUAUCCCUUAACAUUCCCCAUUUCUCUCUCAGUAGCAGAAAAAUUGAAGGCAAAACUUUUAAUGCUGCAAGACAGUGUUGACUCUGUGUUAUUUCAGAAGUAAAUCAGUGCUGACCUUCAUCCUUUACACAAAAAGCAUCAUAUUGGUCAUUCACAAAGGGAUCGGUUUCAAUUUUAACAUCAAUGGCUUUCACGCUCUGCUGUUUGCUGCCCGUCUUUCUGCAUAUAAUUGUCCUAAAAUAAAGAAGAAGAAGAAAACAAU
This is a long non-coding RNA of Haemorhous mexicanus (house finch), 7986 nucleotides long. RefSeq lists it as uncharacterized. The record is from RefSeq and is a predicted model, not a curated record. The transcript has 2 exons. NCBI's taxonomy places the organism in Eukaryota, Metazoa, Chordata, Aves, Passeriformes, Fringillidae.